Molecule: long non-coding RNA, 1312 nt
Filed under: Homo sapiens (human)
Lineage: Eukaryota; Metazoa; Chordata; Mammalia; Primates; Hominidae
Description: HSALNT0399733
Source: RNAcentral
CCACAUCAACUAGAAAAAAACUGGAAACAUUUGAAGAGGCAUUGGGAUCACAAAGAGAGUGAAUCUAAACAUUGAACAGCAGGAGGAAGGGGAAGAAAAAGUCAGGAGUUAGCCAUGGAACCAAGAAGAUCCAGGAGAAGGUUGAGGGGAUGUUCAGAGAAGUGGAAAAUGAGAGAUUGAUUAUCAUGGAGGAAAAGCCCGAGAAGGUCCAGUAAAAGGUUUGGGAAGGUGAAGGAGGACAGGCUGAGUCCAAUUAAGUGUUCAGAGAUGUGUAGAAUGGAGAGCCUGGUCUCUUGAUGGCAGCUGGGGGAGCCAUGAUGGGAAUGGUCCUGCACUUCUCUUGAAUGGAGACAGACAAGAUAAACCUAGGCAGAGAGAAAACUUGCCUCAAUCUUGGAUUAAAUGCAGAGGUCUGCUUGAACAUUCCAAGGUCAAACUAAAAGUCUACAAGAGCAGGAGACUUGAUUCAAAACAGCUCGUCUCUGACUGGUUUUCAUGUGGGCAGAGGGGACUCUCUCGACACUAAGAUGACCACAGCUCACAUAGAGGUGUCAGCUGAAAUAUGGAGGAUUACCACUACUGUAGAAGAUGUCCUAUGCAAAAAAAAAAAAAACCAGCAUAAGCUAAUGAAAAUAUAUAGUGGUCACUUAUUCGGACAUUACAUGUCCUCAAGUCCUACAAAUUAUUUGGUAAGGCAGCUUUGUGAUUUGUUUUCACACAGCAAGAUGACUAGUGAAAAGAAUUUAAUGAUAAGCAAACACAUUGCAUAUAAAAACAUAUUAAAGAUACUUAUUUAGCAUGAAGGCUUAUUCCAGUUCACAGGCAUGGUAUUACCUUUACUAUAUACUUCCAUAAUUUAAACACAGAUAAGGAGAUAAUGUGGUUUCUUCAAAAUCCCUGGCCAGGUUUUGACCACAUUUUCUAUUGAGAAGACAUGUCCCCCUUUUCAUUCCCCUAGAAGCAAACUACCUAUGCACAAGUCAAAAGUGAGUAAAAUGUGUAAAAGGGAAAGGUGUGUUUCACCUAAGUGUCAUAUUCAGAAACAUCUGCUUUGCCUGGUGUAUAUGGCAUUAAUUUCCUGCCAGUUUUCUAUUGGAAGGCCCUUCUGAGUCUUCUGAAAUUGAACAUCAGGUCAUGUUUCUUUAAUCAACCUUGGAAACAAUGAAAGAAAGGAGUGGUGGAGAGGUUUCUUUUUAUAAAAUGUUCCUAAAGUCAAAAAAGUCUAGAAGAAAGAACAUGCACAACUUUGGACCAUGAGUCUGGGAUUUUAAUACCAAAAAGCACUUAUUCCCUGCCACCCCAUGUUGGUUAA